This is a long non-coding RNA of Photinus pyralis (common eastern firefly), 1440 nucleotides long. RefSeq lists it as uncharacterized. The record is from RefSeq and is a predicted model, not a curated record. The transcript is spliced from 5 exons. NCBI's taxonomy places the organism in Eukaryota, Metazoa, Arthropoda, Insecta, Coleoptera, Lampyridae.
CUUAUGCUGAAGAACUUACAUCAUUAGUAGUGAAAAUCUACAGGGUGUUGUUUUUCAGAUGUCAUGUUCCAAUUUCUUCCCCUGAACUUUUUUUCUGUGCGCCUCUCGGAGAUUGUAAAAUAAGAAUUUGAUUUGCUGUUUUGUCAUGUUUGCGUAUUUUCGAUCCUUAUUGAAAAAAAAAUAAAAAACAAUUUUCGGCAAGUAAGUAACAUUUUUAAAAUGGUCCAGUAGGUCUUGGUUUUACUUGGAUAAUUUCUUAUUUUUAUUAGUCUUGACAGUUUGCAUUUGAAAUUGUGUUUGCAUAUGUUUAUAACUGAAAGGUUUAAACUUGUAAAGUGUACGAUGAAAUUAUAACACCCUGUACGUCUGUCUGUUUGCGGACCUAUGCUUAUGUUAACCGUUAGUCAUAAAAUAAGCCAACGAAUUAGCCCCUUCCGUAUUUACAUCAUAUUUACGAACACCCUGUAUAAUAAUAAAAAUCGCUGUCGCCCUCAUAGUCUCCCCCUUAACCCAGCAUUACCGACGACUUCUGCGAUGGAUCAGAGCGAUUCAACCCUGGUUAACGAUUAUAUGGACAUGGUUCACGCAAACGAGUUAUUGGCAAUGGCUUUUCGAAGAGAAUCCAUGCCAGUAGCCCGCGGUCGUGAACUCCCGGUGCUUCCUGGAGUCAGAAUUAAUAAGGCUAAAGAUUUUGGAAGAGCAGCCUUAUAAAGGUAGGACGCAUGUUUGUAUUUUCUUUGUUGUGUAUUUAGCAGUGGGGGAAAAGUGGAGUGUAUAGUGCAACUAAAAAUGAUCUUUAGUGAAGAAUGGAAAUCUCCGUUUGACAACAGAAAAUAAUUGUAAUUAUUCUUCGCGAAGUUGCUCUCGUGGGAUCAAUCAGUUUGCUUUGUAUCAAUGUGUAUGACUCUGGGUUCAUAGCCAUACCGUUUUACAAAGCGAAGUGAUUGUUUUCUGCGGGUUUAACUUUGAAGAAGGAUUGCACUCUUUAACGGAAGGUUAGUAAAUGGGCUUUAAUAAGCAUUGUCCCACUAAUCUCAUUGAUUGUUUUCAGCACCACUGUCAGACAAGGCACGCGAACUUCAACCACGCUGGUGAGAAUAUCCCCGCCAACUUGAUCCUGAUCAAACAAGCAGGUUCCCACCCCUGAAACAGGUGACUGGGCUCUCGUGCGGAAAACGUUUUGUUAUUCCUAUCUUUGUGAUUGUCUCUUCACGGCGGCCAUCCAACAAAUCAAUGGAAUUCGACAAUUUUCUCAUAGGCAAGUGACCAUCAAGACCAAGACCACGGUUUCAAUUUAAAAGUUAACGGGAUUUUCUACGAGCCCAGACGCAUAUCUAUUGGACCAAAAGAAACGUUACUUUACCUUUUUGUUUAUUUUAUAAUUAUUAACGUUGGUAAAAGUGGUGAAUAUUUGUUUUGGUCCAAUACAUGUGGCUGGGC